UACGGAGGAUGCAAGCGUUAUCCGGAUUCAUUGGGUUUAAAGGGUGCGUAGGCGGCCGAGUAAGUCAGCGGUGAAAUUUUGCAGCUUAACUGUAACAGUGCCGUUGAUACUGCAUGGCUAGGAUUUGGUUGCUGUGGGUGGAAUGUGUGGUGUAGCGGUGAAAUGCUUAGAUAUCACACAGAAUAUCAAUUGCGAAGGCAGCUCACAAAGCCAAGAUUGACGCUGAGGCACGAAAGUGUGGGGAU
This 245-nucleotide ribosomal RNA is filed under the name uncultured prokaryote. RNAcentral's name for it is "partial 16S ribosomal RNA". It matches the Rfam family "Bacterial small subunit ribosomal RNA", at positions 524 to 768 of the family's 1533-position model. The record is from RNAcentral.